Molecule: small nuclear RNA, 277 nt
Filed under: Rattus norvegicus (Norway rat)
Lineage: Eukaryota; Metazoa; Chordata; Mammalia; Rodentia; Muridae
Description: 7SK RNA
Rfam family: 7SK RNA
About the family: 7SK was discovered as an abundant small nuclear RNA in the mid-70s but a possible function has only recently been suggested. Two independent studies have found that 7SK RNA binds the CDK9/cyclin T complex (known as elongation factor P-TEFb). P-TEFb activates transcription by phosphorylating the C-terminal domain of RNA polymerase II.
Source: Rfam by way of RNAcentral
AAAUGUUAGCUCUGUUAUUUCUGUCACCACUCUGAGUCCCAUGGUUGGUUCGACUAAUCUGACUAGCUAGACAAGCAUCCACUUCCUCCCUCACCACUCUAUGUGUGUCCCCCCUUAGCCAGCAGAGAAGGGCAGUUCUUUGGUUAAGAUCAUAAAAAUAACUGGAAAUCCCCUGCUAAAACCUCCAGACAAGUUUCUAAGGUCCAUCCGAAGCACGCAGGGUAGUGACAGGCCUAAGUCUCUGGGCACGUGUAAAUGAUGUCUAUGUGGUCUCUCU